UAGUUCUGAUAUCUCUUAAGUCACACAUAAAUCUUUCGCUUUUUAUUAAAUAUUUCCGUGGAAAGAAACCUCAAAGAGUUUGAUGUCUUUUUAUGAGGUUUGCUCUGGCAAAGCU
Molecule: small nuclear RNA, 115 nt
Organism: Hemibagrus wyckioides
Lineage: Eukaryota; Metazoa; Chordata; Actinopteri; Siluriformes; Bagridae
Product: U5 spliceosomal RNA
Exons: 1
Source: RefSeq, a predicted model, not a curated record